This 274-nucleotide ribosomal RNA is filed under the name Stylomma palmatum. RNAcentral's name for it is "partial 28S ribosomal RNA". It matches the Rfam family "Eukaryotic large subunit ribosomal RNA", at positions 78 to 346 of the family's 3401-position model. Lineage: Eukaryota; Metazoa; Annelida; Polychaeta; Sabellida; Sabellidae. The record is from RNAcentral.
CCCCAGUAACGGCGAGUGAAGCGGGAAGAGCCCAGCACCGAAUCUCCCGCCUGCGGGCGGCGCGAACUGUGGUGUUUGGGGCGGUCUUCGGAGCGUGCGGCGGGCGUCCGAGUCCUCCUGAUUGGGGCUUCGCCCGGAGCGGGUGUCAGGCCUCUACGGCCCCCGCCGUCGCUCCCUCGAGCGUCCCCGGAGUCGGGUUGUUUGAGAAUGCAGCCCAAAGCGGGUGGUAAACUCCAUCUAAGGCUAAAUACCGACACGAGUCCGAUAGCGGACA